Xyrichtys novacula (pearly razorfish) is the source of this 24134-nucleotide non-coding RNA. The record is from the annotation of a GenBank genome assembly. NCBI's taxonomy places the organism in Eukaryota, Metazoa, Chordata, Actinopteri, Labriformes, Labridae.
CGCACAUCCAUGCGUUUCUGAGGCGCACACACCUUCAUGCACACACCCUCACACACACACACACCAUUAGAUGAGAGAGUGUUAGAGAGUGACUGCAGGAAGGAUUGGUUGGAGCUGAAGGUAACAGAGUGAGAGGAGAGGAAGGACGAUGAAGAAAAGAGGGACAGAAGUUAUACAAGGUAAGGUGGAAGAGCGGUAAAAAAUCCACUUUUCCUUGAAUGUCUCAUUUCUCCUGCCGUCAUCGACUCUAUUUGCCUUUCUUAUGCAUAAUUAAUUAACAGCAAGUAAGAUAUUAAUUUCCUGGAGGUUUUUUCUUUCGGGUGUAGGCUUACCUCAUCAUUCCCCCACACUGCACCGGCUUCUUGUUUUUAUCCACAUACAUGUGUCCAUAAGUUGUUAAAAUAUACAUACUGUAUGUACUGUUGUGUGUGUGUGUGUGUGUGUGUGUGUGUGUGUGUGUGUGUGUCUGUUCAUGCUGCAGGUUGAAGUGAGUGUAUCCCCAGCGAUCCAGGUGUAAUUGGGUUAGUGACAACCAGGACAAUGUGACACCUGCAGGUCUCAGCUGUGCUGCUCCCUGCUGAACUGGCCUGGAGUCAGCUGGAGCUCUGUCAUCUGGACCGGCCUCAGCUGAAACAACCAUUCUGGGACAGAUCCAGGGUUAGAGGCUUCACUGGGCACAACACAAAUAUCAGUCUUUAUACUAACCUCAUGUCUUUUAGCUGGACAGAGGGCAAUAAAGAACCGGAGGACAGAUUUAUGUGACAUCCAGAUUUAAAGUGUGGCCGUUAAGAGACUAUUAGGGUUAAAAAAAAAAAAAAAGUUCUGGGUUCAGUAUUUGAGUUCUACUUAUCUAACACACUUAGCAACGACAUUUCUGCCAUUAUUUAUUACUGAUUGUUGGAUUAUAGACUGGGUGUGGUUUCUGUUACUGGUUUCUGUAGGAAUGAAAGCCCAACAAUCAUUCUGACUCAUGCUGACUUCAACUAAGUUUCAAUUACCCUAAAACUGGCAAAGAUGUGUUGAGGUGGGCUUUUGGCUUCAUAGCAAACAGUUACAACAUACCAACCUUUCUCUCAACUCAGCUGUGCCUAUAAAUGUGCAUAUAAAUCCAACUCUUCAUAUCAUCCUAAUAGAAGCAUUAUAGAAAACUUCUACCCCUAUGGUGUGUAUGAAUAAGUAAAUACUGUUAGCAUGUAUAAUUUUGCUGUAAAAAUGGCCAUCUAAUGCUGCGUUAAAGUCAGCUGUCGGAGCUGGGAAUGACAUUACACCCGAGUUGACGGCAUCCCAGUAAACAAGUCCGAAGAACCAAGAUGGACGCUUACUGUUAGUCGUUGUUAACUGUUAUUAACACUUGCCAGUUGUCGUUAGCCGUUGUCAGCUGUUGUUAGUUGUUAGCUAUAUCAGUUGUAAACAACACAUAACACAGUAUUUUACUCUUACAAACGCACAGUUAGACUUUGGGCAGUACAACAUAUACCACUUAUUUAAUUUCACAAAAACACAACAGAAGUGUGAAUAAAUAAUAUAUUACAAGAGCUUUCACUGUUACUGUUCACUAUUGAUGCACUGAGCUGCCAUCUUGAAUGAUGAUGUUGUCGUCAAGUUGGGGUUGGUGAUGAUUGUCCAAUUUUACGAGUCAGAAAUCCAACUUCAGGGGGGCCUUCCAGAUGAAUUUCCGACUCCAAGCUCAGAAAACCCGACUUCCGAGUACAACUGGAACGCAGCAUUAAUACGGGACCCAAUAGGAAUUUCUAGCCUUCAAUGGCCAGCCUUAAGAUGACACUCAAAGAAUUGCAGUUUUUUGUUGCACUCAAGUAUUUGCCUCAUCUUUAAAUUGAAAGAUGGUUUUGUUUGCUUUUCACUAUCCUACACAGACAUCAAUAAAGAUUUCAAACUUUUUCAUAAACAUCAAAAACUCCUAAAAGGAGCUUAACUAUGAAAAAAAAAAAAGAGUUUUCUCUUUUUACUGGUCAACAGUUGUAUUACAGGUAAACCAUGCACACAGAAUUCUCUCAAAGUUUCCUUCAAAUUUAUUUUAAUACAAUAAAAUCCUUACAAACAAAGAACUGCUAUUUAUGUCCCUCUGGAAAGAAAGAAAAAAACUGUUUGGGGGUGACACUGGCCAAACAUUUCACACACAGGCCCAUAUAUGACGGUUAUGCCUGAAAAUUUUCCAAUAUUUUCAUGUGCUCCACCCCAGAAAUUUUCCAAAAUUACUUGUUGACACAUGUCCCUUACAACAUAAAAUGUUCCCUGUAUAGAAGGGCUGGAAAUGACUCUCCCUUGAUAGAUAGCCUGAAUCUAAAUUACUCUUAAGCUGUUUCUCUGUUGAAAUGAAAAACAUGCAUAAAAGAAAAUAACAGAAAAUAAAAUCUUCAAUACAAUAGUAAAUGUCAAGGACAUUGCUAGGAAAAAAACAAAGGAGCAAGGAUAGGAAAUGGAAAGCUUUAGAUUGAUCUCAUAGAGCUUGUUGCGGUCUAAGUGUAACUGACAAAAAUCCCACAUAGACGCAGCAAAUAAACUCUGCUGGUGUGUGACAGCCUCCUGCAUGUCCUCUUCCUCUCAUCAGGCAGAACUUGUGAUCACAGACUGAUAUCAUCACACAAACGUCUCCCUGUCACAUCACAUUUUUGCUGCUUCUGUCUGACUUCUGUCUCUCCAGGCCCGAGUGGCGGCAGACCAUGCUAACCAGCGCGACGCCAUCGGAAGCUAAUAAAUCAUCUGUGGUUUUAUUUCAGAUUUAUUCGGACCGUAAUGAAGACGCGAUGGGCCCCGGGCUGUAACCGACGGCGACAGGGUGACACUGAUGAAUGGCUGAAGGUGCGUUCUCUACAGUCGGAAGGAGAGGGAGGACUGUCAGGCUGUGUGGGUGUGCUGUGAGUGUGUGUAUGUGUGUGUGUGACAGUGGGUAGGAUCAGUAGCACCCCAGAGAUCGGUUAUAUUACACAUUAAGCGUGUGAUAUAACUGCGUCUCAUCAAAAAUAUAAUAACUCUUUACAAAGACCAUGGACUGCUGUACAGUAAUGCCACAUGUAGUACAGGAAGUCCAAGUGUUGCUGAAAACGGGAGGACCUGAGCUCCAUUUUUUCUGUCUUUUAUACAGUUAAGACUUGGGCUUCUAUUCACACACAGUUAAGCACGCCUGUCUCCUCCUGCUCCUCUCCCUGCUCUCCUCUCUCCAUCUAUGACUGCACGAUACAUGUUAAAGUUUCAGUGGUUCUCCUUUAACUUUGAGCUGUUCAUGCUGGAUUUUAAGUGAGAGCUGUUGGUUCGAGGGGCAGAUUAUGUGUUCUGCUGUGAAGGAAGAAAGGGAUGGAACGUUAAAUUGAUUGAAUAUGAUGAUAGAGAGCAACACGCCAGUUGGCACAGUAAUCGUUCAGUCCUGAUAAGCAAAUUUUUGUGAAUGUGGGGAGUUAGGCUUGUAAUGGAAAUUGAAAUUCAAUCAGUUCCCCAGUCCUGAUAGGAAAGGUAUACUUUUGUUUUAGGUAUGGAUGCUCAUUUUGAUCACAUAUAAUCAUGUACACUUAACUUAGGGUGUAUUGCAACAUAGUGCUAACUGUUAAGUUCACUCUUAUUUUCAAGUUAUCUUAUUACAUAUGUAUUUAUUUCCAAAAUAGAUUCUGUCAUUUCCCAAAAGUUUGCACAACCACAUUGUUGACAAAACUAAAUGUUGCUGUUUUUGCGUCAAAAGUUAACCACACCUUUAUCUGUUGUGGACUAGCUUCCAACACCUUGUGUUAUUGAAUAAACUAACUUGAAUCUUGUGAGUUUUUUUUGGUGAUUCCUGUGGCGAUUUUGUUGCCGUAAACGAUUGUCAUUUUUCCUAUCUUCAUCUGGAAUUGAACAAAGCAUUCCAGGAAUUAAGGUAAUGAAUCUAUCUGCGUCUGUAUGGGAUUAAAAAAUAUAAUAUGUUGAUAGUCAAAUUAACUUACAGUGUAUACUUUAUGAAUCUAGUCAAUCAUAGAACUAUCUCAUUAACAUGCCUUGUGAUAGGCAUUUUUGAUAACAUUCGCUUCAGAUCAUUUCACAUCCUUUGCAUACACUCUCUUUGCUUUGUACCUUACAAUUUCUGCUCCUUGUUUCUGCUGACCCUGCCUUGUAUGUGAAUAGUGCUCUUGGAGGAAAAAUAAUCCCUUGCCUUUCUCUAACUGGAAAACAUACAACUCACUGCAAAACAUAAACUCGCCGUGUGCAUCAUGUCCUGUCUCAGGUGUACUCUUGAGCUGAUCUCAGAACACUCUAGUCAAUGCUUGUUUCCACAGGAGGCACUGUGGCAUGUCUCAGCUUUGUCCCAGCAGUAUCUCCUGCUCUGCUAAUGAUACACACCAUAGCUGUUAUCCUCUGUAUACAUUGUUGUUAUCACAUGAUCUCAAGACACCUGCAAGUUCUCGAGGAGUCCUUAUGCAACCAUAUGAUCUCACACCUGAACUUGCUCAAAGCUGCACUAUGCUGUGUUACAGAAUGAGGCGUGCAGGACAGGGUGUGAAGGACUGAGUGAAACUAAGCAUUGGUUUGUCUCUUUUAUUCAUCAGGUGCAUCAGUUAAUACUAUUUCUUGAUUAAAAUUUUAAAAUUUCUAAAAAACGUACACAAAUCUUUAUAGCAGAGCCAAGAAAGGGAACUUUCUAGAUGCAAGUUUAGAUUUGAUUCCACAGAAUUUUUUAAUUAUGACACAAUGUUUAUGAAAUGAGAAAGUCUUGAGUAAUCUUCAUAUCUAUCUUUAUUUCUGUCCUAAUUAUUAGACGCUGUAUGCUAGUUACUCUGUUACAUUUGCUGCGUUUUGAUUGUGCGCUCUUUGUGCGUGUGUCAUCACAGUCCUCUCUGUCAGCCAAGGACAAAUUGACUGAGCCGACUCAAUGCUUCAAGCCUGGCAGCUUCCACUCAUCUUGUCAAUCAAUGAAUCCAUAUGCAGCUCGUCUCACCUGACACAGUACAGCACAGCACUUUUUAAAGAGCAUUCAACAACAUGAGUGUACAUUAAACACAACACUGUGCCAACAGUAAGACAGAAAGUUUAGCUAAGUCUACUGUAUGUCAUGGACAUGGCCUUGUUUAUAUAGCUUUCUCCCUCAUAGAGGAUGGCAGCUCUAAUCAGCUUAAAUCACAGCGUUUGCAGCUCAUUACAGAAAAAAGGAUCAUCAACAUUCAGCUAAGCAACCACAUGAGACCAGUUAUCUACUUAAUAAGUCAACCCAGAGCACAUUCAAAUGAAAGGGCAAUGUUAGCAAAAACAUGACACUCCAGAGAAAACCAACACAGUUGCAUAUUAUCCUGAAUGCAGGAACAUCACCCAAAAGCAGUUAUAUGUUCCCAUAAAGGUUUAUAAAAUCACACUGCCUCCAUUUACGUAUUCAUCCACAGUAGAUCAGAUUGUAUUAACUCCAGCUUAUUCUAUUAAAAUACCUUUUUCAUCAAUAGCGUGCAUGGUGAAUUUAGACCUCUUUUUCCUCUCGCAACCUUAACAAUUCAAAACUUACUCAUGUAGCAAAUUAAAUUUAAAAAACUAAAACUAAAACAUAAUUUAUAGUUUCAUAUUUGGCCUGGCAGACACUGUAGGACUAUAUAAAUGUCAAAAUGGAUUGUCAGCUCACACAACCAAAGCUCACAUAUUAUACCCUCACACUCUGCAGUCUGAUUAUCAGGCACAACCAAAGUGUUUACAACCUUAGGGGGACGUCUAAAUGACCUAAAACCAGUGGUUGACAGUGUAACAUGCAAAGGGAAUGAGGGCGUGCCCAACCACUUUUCUGCACAAAUAUGAGAGUGUGCAUGAUGGAGAGCUUGGUGACGUUCUCAGUCUGUGGUAUCAGGCCCUUUGAUGAUUGAGGUGAGGCUGGUGCUUGAGGAGAUGGUCGGUACAUUUACAUGACACUGGAGAAAACCAAAUUAUUGCCUUACUCUGAUUAAAACUGGACAACUGAAGUGCAUGUAAAUACCUUAGUCCAACUAAAAUCGGAGUUUGAGAACUCCGAUGAAGACACCCAGAUAAUGCAAUUGGAAUUCGAUUUUCUCUACCAUGUAAGAGUAUGAUCAGACAAUGCAUGUGCGCGUGCGCCACACCCCCAUAACCCUGAAACAAAAACACCAAGGAAGAGGAGUAGCAUGCAUCUGCAAUCUGCAGAAAAAGUAGCGCGUAUAUCAUGUAUGUCAAAACAGCACUGUACGAAGCUCCAUCUUCUUGCUCGAAAAUGCCCAGCAGCAGUUGUAGCCACUUCUGAUGUCUGGCACAAACCUGCUGUUGUUGUUGACGGUUGUAUGGGGUUGGAAACAGCGCCGCUGAAAAGAUCUAUAUCGCCCCCUAGUUUUGGGGAGGAGGACACGUUCACGUCAAUAAUUCAGUUUUCUCAGCUGCAUGUGUAUGCGGACAAGGAGGGAAGUCUGAUUUGAUGAAAAAAAGGAACUAUGAGCUUAGUCUGAUUGAGCUGUGCAUGUAAACACACUGACUGACUGCGAUUUCAUUAUUUUAGCACUCCAAGAUUGGCACCAUAGUGUACCAUAUUAAAUGGUGCGCUAUUGCGUUACAGGCUCCAGACUAAUGACCUGGAUUUUGUUGGUUUUGAUGCUUUAUGAGUCAUUAAGAUAGCAACACACCACCUUUGCACCUGGCCACACCUCUGGAUUUUUUAGGGUAAGUGUAUGUCAGAUUUUAUAAGUACAAAAAGUACAGGGCUUUAAUUCUGGUAUAAUUCUCUGUGCUGGUGGUUGUUUGUACCAUAAAUUUAAAAUACAAAAAUUUAAGCCAAUGUCAAAAUUCUUGGUCUCUGGUCACUGUGAUUGAGACUAAAUGGUCCAUAAGGGUUGAUAUCUUUAUUAAAAGUAUAAGUCACAGUGUAGAUCCACUCUAGACAGGAACCACCUGUAAAAUACUGAAAACAAAAGUUAACCUCCAUGUUACAUUGUCAGCUGCAGGUCUUAUUUGCAGUACAGGCCUCUGGUACAAGCAGAACAGGCUUUGAAAUUAAUUAAAAAGUCCAUUUCCAUGCUGAUGAUGUUUGUUUUUGUGAGUCAUGUAAAGGCAUCAGUAAUGAAUUUAGACUCUUACUGUAAUAGCUAGGACCAUUCACAAAGUUACCUUAAUUAGAUUUCUCUCUCUGCUUUGUUUUUCUUUUUUCUUCUCGCAUUGGUGUUUUGAUUAAAAUUGCAAAAUGUGCAUGACAGCAUGGCAGAACUUUGAACAGAAAAUACAUCAGUCUACUUGGAAGGAGUCUCGGCUGUGAAAGAAAGAAGACGACUUUCUGUUCCCUCUCUUAUUCUGUGAUCUCUCUUUUUAAAGGUCAGUAUAUCACAAUGUGAAGAGAUUAGAUCUGUCUCCAUAGAGCAGCACAUGUAUCUUUGUUUGUCUUUGUUAGCUGAGAUUUUGUUUAGUUGAUCUUACCUGACAGGGACAGAAUGAGAGAAUAUUCAGUCUGUGCAUCUUACUUUUUUCUUUUUUAAUUAGAAUCACAAUUUAUAGACACUUAUUUAAUUUGGGGAUGGUUAAUUAAAAUACUAGAGAUUCAUUCAAUCAAACAAUGUGGUGCCAGUCAAUCUGAUGUAAUCUUAUAUGAUGAUAACUUAAUCUCAGUUAAUUUAUUAAUUUCAUAAAACUGAUUAAAGGCAGAAAACCAGCUUUUGCUUACAGACACCCUUAGCUCUAUUAGUACAACAGACCAUAAAUGCAGUAAAGUCCUUUGACUGUUUUAGUCAUGGCUUGACAAGUUCAUAUUCAGUACCGACCACUGAUACCAGCCUCUUAAGGCUAAAACAUACAGGAUGUGUAUUUGAAGUGUGGCAGCAGCGUCACGCAGCAAAUAGGUUGCCAUUCUGAUCAAUACAGCAAAGCAUACAGAACGUGUAUCAGCUCUGUCGCAGCAUCGUAUCGAGAGCGGCACUGCUAAAGAUACGCGGCGAGUCUGUUUUUGUUGUUUUACGCUUCCAACGCACGUCAAUCCACACAGAGAAGAUAGUUCCAAACAGGAAGUCAAGCACGAAAACCGCACAAGUCAUCUGAUAAAUCUUAAAAUAAAACACCAUAUGCAGACUCCCGACUGUGUAUCAGUUCAUGUAGAUGAGAAAUACUUCCUGGUUAUGAAUUUAUCUGUAGCACAGAACAUUUCAAUGAAACUUUAAAAUCAUGUUGUUUUUUCACAUAAAGUAGAGGCUCAACAGUCACUGAAUUAUAUACAAAUCAGCAGGAAAUGACCACAGAAAGGAAAAACAACCUGGUGUGAUCAUGUUGUUUCCUCUAUACCGAGCCCAGCUGACCGGGGCUGCACUACGCUGCUGCUACGCUCCAAAUAUGUAUCCUGUAUGCGAUACCCAAUGCUGCUAUACGGAGCAAAUACGGAUCCUGUAUGUUUUUGGCUUUACAGCUACUACCUGGUAUGUCAGGCAGAUCAAAUAUGCAAGCAUUAUAAUCAAUGAGUGUGAUUCCACACAAUCCGUCUGCUGGCUGGAUCAGAUACGCAAGGCAGGACGCCACAGCGCAUCGAUUUAGUGCAGUGCAGCACGAGCAGCAGCAGAAGUUGUAAGUGGCUACAGAGAAAAAUACCUGCUUUAUUUUCAAAAAUAAAAUAAAGUCAAUAAAUUGAACUGUUCUUCACUUGAUAAUAGUAGAAGCCAGGGUUGUGGGAUGUGGGUGUUUAUAUACACCGACAUUUAUAUACACUGAUCGGCAGAUCUCAUUCAAUGUCUCACAGGGAAACAUGCAAGAUCUCGUCCAGUCUUGCAAUAAAUAUCGGUCACCUUUCAAGUGCUUCUUCUCCGCUGGCAGAGGCGGAGCGGAUCUGGUGGGCGCUGUAUGCUUGCGUAUUUGAUCCGCCUGCCGGUCCGAGUAAAGCUACUGAUACCAAUAUCAUUUCCAUCAAAGUAACAGCUUAACAUUAGUCUUGUCAGAGUUCAAGGGCUGAGCACAGUAUCAAGAGGUAACCAGUAAAACCUUAACUGAAAAACCAAGACAUGAAGCACAUUAACUUACAAUUUAGCAGAUCAGGACUCCGCAGACAGACAAUGCAACUUUACUAUUCAGUUGGUCACUGAUUCGCAAUGGUGAAUCUUACCACACUACAUCCAGCCGCAAGACUAUCUCCAGUAAAUUAUUCAUGGCAGAGAUCUUAAUCUGCAGCCUGUUGCACCAGCUAAGUAUGCAGACCUAACUCAUUUGGACAUAAAUUGCUUUUGGAUUUAUGCAUUACGAAAGUUAGUAUUCUCACAAAAAUGCUGAAUGACCAUAAAACUCUUCCAUAUAACAUCUCAGUAUUUACAUAUAACUAGUCCUAGUGAGCACCUGCUGGGAUUUCAAUGUUCUUUUGUGUCUGAUUACGGUGAAAUUGGGUCAAAUUUAUAUGAUCACAUCACAACUAUUUUUAGAUCAGCAGUUAUAUCUUCCUCUUGUCAUGAAAUCAACAUUUGCUCUAUAAUUUUGAUCAUUUGUUAUUUUUUCACACAUUUGAAGGGUAACAAUAGUGAUGAUUGUUGUGGCAUUUCUCCAAAGUUUCACGAUUUAUGCAGUGGAGCUUGAAAUCAGGUCCACAAAGACCAAAAACCAUUGUUUUUAUCCUAAAACUUUGAUUGAACUACGGUCCCAGUUUAACACCAAAUUUCUCACACUAGCCUGCAGCCACUGCAUGUUUUAGUGUAAAAAAUGACUGGACUGCAUAUGAAAGAGCGUUAGCAAUGAGAUGUAACCAAAAUGUAUAAGUGAAUAUGCAGCCAGGGUGUCCCACAAGAGCAUCAGACUGAAGACUUAACAUGCAACAUUGAGUGACAGAUGGGAUGGAGAGGAUUUUACCAUGAGUGCUGUUGCCGGCUGCAUAGAUGUCUCCUCAACAACCGCUUUUCUGUAAAAGACAUGCAACUAUGGCAGGCCCUUAACAAAAUAAAAUAAGUUAAAUGAUAGGAUUAUAUGUGUCAGUUUUGGUCGGGAAACUCUGUCUUUUAUGACUCCUGUACCGAAUAGAGGCAUGCUGAGUUCACAGCUUGAAACAAAUAAAAGCCCAGAUUGUUAAUUACAGUUUUAUGGUAUUUAUAUUUAAAAAACCAUAAAAGCUCAGAAUCAAAGUUUGGGUGAUAGCAAACAGACGGUUUGAGACACAAAGACCAAACGUCUCUGGGAGCAGUUUCACAGCAGAAGAGAGAUAAAACUAAAGGCUUCAUUCUGUUUCUCAUUUUUAUCCCUACUUUUUGUUUUCAUGAGCCCCUCUACACUCUGAAAGAUUUAAAGCAGUGGCUAAUGAUAAAAUCUUCGCCUAUGGCAAGAAUCGGACACAUUAUCAGGAGUUAAAGAAAAUUUUAUGUGAAGAGAUGCGACAUCGGCUUGUUAGGUAGUCAAACCAAGACGUCAACAUAUUAGUUUUAAGAAAAAAUUGUUAUGCUUGAAACAACAUUUAACUAGGACAAUAAAAUGGUUGUCAAUAUUUUUAACUCUCAUUAAUAAAGCCAAUCCAUUUGUGCAUUUUCUUUCAUUGUGUGGGUGUGUGCUGCACAUAACUGUGGUGUGUGCAGCUCUGACUGAGUGAAGGCAGGAUGACACCCAGAUUUCUACGGUAUGGAGAAAUUUAAUUACAAUCAUAGUUUUUGUGUCUAAUAUUUUCAAUUUUGUCAAUGUUUCAGAAACAGUGGGUGAAUAUUUGUUAAAAACGUGCUUUCACAUCACUUUAUGUAUCACUUUAGUGUGUGUGUGUGUGUGAGUUUGAGAGAGCGCUCACUCCAUCAGUCUGUCUUUCUAAUUACCGUUGUUUGUCCAUGGUGAGACAACAUGAAGGCUUUUGGCCUCUCUGGCUGACAAUCGCCAUGAAAGGACAGAUAACACACUCCUCCUUUACACCAGACUGGCACCAUCUCUCUCCUUCCAUCUUCAUCACUUCCUCUCUCACACUCUGUUACACUCCUUCACUCUGCCUCUCCACCGCCUUUCUAUUCCUCUACAAAGCCGUCACUCACUCACUGCAGCGAUCACUAACACAGUCUCUUACCCGGUUAUCUCCCCUGUCUGUCCACAUUCUCUCUCUUUGCCUCUCUCUUGUUUCUAAUGCUUUGCCCUCCAGAGUCUAAAUGGAAAGUUCUGAUCUGUUGACUAUAUUUGCAGCGCAGUUUAACAAGCAUUAGCAUACCCUAUGGGUCUUUAAAUUUCAGUUCUCAUAUGAGCAACAAAACACUUUUACACACACAUAACAGAAGCACACACACACACACAGGCGCCUAUAGGUGCACAGAGCCAGUUAAUUAGAGCUGGAGGCCCCUCUCUCCUAACGAACCUGAGGGUAAUUAAAGAGCCCCUGGACACGGGUGUGUCUGCGAGCUGCUUCUAAUUAAGCCCCAGCGAGCUGAUUUAGCUAAUUAGCUAAAGGCUCGAUGUUCGACACCAAAGCAUUCCAGCCCCUCAGAACACAGGAAGUUACAAUGUUCCCACACCGUCCCUGGCAACACUUUCAUUUCCUCAGGCAUUAAUCACCAGAGUUACAACUGUCGUCAUAGUUACUGCAGGAGAGGAGUUGGGGGGGCAGCUGCAACCCUGAGGGUGAGAGGUGUGAACCAGUCAUGUUAAGGCUACUGGAUGGCGGACCAAUCAUGAGCCAGAAGGUAAAUUUUCAUAUCCAAAAGCAACUAUUUAGACCUGCAUGAUAAGAGAAAGGGUGUCACGUGGAAUCACAUUGCUCAAUAUCACAAAAGAUUUCUGAAGUUCAACACACGUAUCGGCUGAAAACCGCAGUUUCAAUGGUUUGAAUUGUGACUUGUACAACACUUGUAUUCGCAAUAAGUCAGAAAUGUUUUUUUUGUCCAUCUCUACAUUGGCGAUGGAACAGCUGAUGCUAUUUUGAGCUUUAAGUGACAUCAUUAAAGUGGUGUGCAGCAUGGCCAUUUAAGCAGGGCCUUAAUCUAAAUAGUAAAAUAUGCAUUAUUGUGAUAGAUUUAGACAUGUGUUCAUUGGAAAAGCUCAAAUCAGAUUAACAAGACAAGUGCAAUUAAGAGUGCAACCUUACAGUGAUAAUUUAUAUACAAAUACUCUAAUAUAUAUAUAUAUAUAUAUAUAUAAAGUUACCAGUGUACUCCCUGAACUAUAUUCUCAAUAAAGAAUAGCUGCUCUAAAAGGGACAGAAGUCAAACCUGCAUAUUAGAAAUUAUUUUAUUUACUAUCUCCAAAAGGCUCCUUGUCAAAAGUUUGCAUGGGUGAUUAAAUAGCCACUGGAAUAUAACACAAAGAUUUUGAAACCUCAAGUAUCAUCAUGAUCCUCUUAGGAUAAGUGAAUCAGAACAGCUCUGACAAAAGGUGCAUAGAGUAAGAGAAGAGCACCGAAGUUAUUUAAGUUCCUCAGUUUUCCACUCUAUGCCAGAGGCUAAUUCAUUAGCUGGUUAAUUAGCUAUUUAGUAACAAUGUUUCCCACAAAAUGAGUUUCUAUUUUUGGUGUUAUCUGAAUGAAGUUGUUCAUUUAUUUGACUAAAAAGCACAGAGAGCUUGUGAAAGGCUGUGCUGUAAAGUUUGCAUUCUUUCUUAGUGGCCUCUGUGGAGUUUGAUUAUGUUUUAGAGUCAGACUCAAGUGGGCCUUUUACAGAUCUGCAGUGUAGUUCUGCUUUAGGAAAGUUGUAUAUCAUUGAAAGAGGUGUUGGAACGAAUGGCCCUCACCUUAUCUCACCAGCUAUAUUCAUCUGAAAACAUCUCCACAACCUGUUUCUGGUUGAGUCAUUUUGCUUGGGGGAAAAUUAGAUCAGUCAGGACAAAAGGGGUAAAUGGUGCACAAUUUAGAUGUUUCCAAAACAGAACUGAGGUUUAUGUUUUGCAUUUAACUGAACAAGCAAAAGUUGUGUGAAUAAUUUUAGAAAGUUAAAUGUCAAACCCAGAAGUCACAUCUCCUCACAACUGUUCGAGUACCAGUGUUGGACAAUGCUGCUUACGAAAAUAAAGCCUGACUUGUGCUUCGCCAUAUCAUACACUGUAGGUCUGAGUCACCUGUCUUCUGUGCAGAAGCCUACAUGCUUAGUCCAGUGCACACCUUGUCAAAAACGUAAAGCAGACCAGCCCUGAGACUGGUCUGCUGGGCAGUGGGAUUUUCAGGUAUCACCCCUUUUCUAAGUCUUCCUACUAGGCAUCCAUAUAGUCCAUGUGUCCCCAAACCCCUUUCCCCCCUUUCCUCUGUGCAAGAAUUGCAGCCUGAUCAUCACAGUAUAACAUAUAUUAGCUCGAUAUGUGUAUCUCAAAUAUGUAAUGCUCAGAUUUAUUUGUCAUGGUCUGGACACAAGGAGGGAAUGUAGCGGGACCAGAAAGUAGGGAUGUGCCAAGUGUGCUGACUAGCAUUCAGAUUGAGCAUUGCAGAGUGGCACAGAUAUUUGGAGGUAUGUAGGGUCAUGGUGUAGGUCUGACACAGAAGCUUAAACCAGGCUUCACCUGCUUGGAGAUUACUGCCACUUCAUAGUAACUCAUUGUAUACCUGUGUUAAUAAAGUAGCGCUGUGGAGUACUCAAGUAGUCAUUGCUGUUUUAAAACAGUAGCACUUCCAGUAUCUUCUCUCUCUUUUACAGACAUCAUUUUAGCUCGGAGAUGUUUGUUCAAAUAUGAAAUUGAGUUUAUAGCAGCGGACAAGCUUUUGUCACUGACAAACAUUUGUUUUCAAAUGACAUUAACAUUGAUACGCAGCUACAGUUCAGUUUUUCCAGUUAAGGAUUACUUAAACUGCAGAAGAAACACAUUAAAUGAGAAAUUAAAGAACCCAACAAAUUACUUUGUAACAUGUUUCCCUAAACCAGGGGUGGGCAAUCAUGCGCCAUGGAGGGCUGAGAGGCUACAGGUUUUCUUUCCAACCCAAAACUCCACCAAGUGAUUUCACUGAUUAGUCUCUGCUCUCUGCUUGAAGGUAAGGUAAUCAGUGAAAUCACCUGGUGGAGUUUUGGGUUGGAAAGAAAAUCUGCAGCCUCUCAGCCCUCCAUGGCACAUGAUUGCCCACCCCUGCCCUAAACAGUGACAAAGAGCAUGAUCGUCAGAUUUUUUUUUUUUUUCUGAAAGUUUCAAAAAUAUUGAUGUACAAGGCCCGAUGAACUGAGGGACUAUCUAUCAGGUAUUAAAUCUGAUUCAAAUCUAAAAAACAACGUUUAAAAUAUACUUUAACAUUCCAUGCAUAGUCAUAGGAUUACUUAGUCACUGUAAAUAUAUGUUGUUUGUGCUUGUUUUGAAAUUGUGAAAGUUGUUUAACUCUAGAAAUAAGAUGUUAAAAUCAGUCUGUCAUCAGCAUAAUUUUGAACAAUUGCAGAAAAACAGCAGUGCUGCUCUCAUAUCACAGGAAUUAUGGUAUUAUGAAUUCACAUGUUUUACAAGUCCUCCUGGGAAUCAAGAAAGUUUAAGGAGCAAAUACAUUCCAGAGAAGAUGUUCAGAUAAUUUCAUCUGCUUUCCCCCUUUAUCACUUCUUUCCUCCUUCUUUCUAACUCAGCAUCCAACUUCAUAGCCGGAGCGCAUCUGAUCCCCCUUCAUUUCCGCAGUGGGAGAGAGCGAGCUGGCGUUGGCCGCUGAGGCCCUGAUCAAUCAUGAUCUAGCACGACAGAUUGUAUUAGAGACAGAGAGAUGGAGGGAUGGAGAGAUACAGAGGAAGAGAGUGGGGAAUAUAUAAGAUAUUCAGACAUCGGUAUUCUUCUUUGGGAGCUGUGUGUGAUUUGUCGACAUGACCAGAUGUGAUCAGGAGAUGGUCAAAGGAAAAAGAGAGAGAGGAGGGGGAUGAGAGAUGGGGGAAAAACAUCCCCAGCCCUGUUCGUUAUUAAGAGAUUAAAUCCCAUCUCUGACAGACUUGUCACUGCUGGAGACAGAAUUGAGCACGGCCGGUAAUUUGACUAGUUCCCUAUCUCCUCGCCGCUCAGUUGGCCGAUGACAGCAAGGCGACAGAGCGUUGAAUAUGCAAGAUGUCUCUCCUUCUAUCCCUCUAAACUCUGCCGUCUAACUCGCUUGUGAGUUCUGUCAGAGCCACCUAAGAGACACAUGCACUCACAAAAAGUGUACGUAGACACACACACUCAACUGCAUAAAAUUGAAGAUUUUCAACCAUUUGCAUCCUCACGAAGACAUUUGACUUCCCAGGAUAUUGACAAAUGGCGGCUUGCAGGUUCAGGUCCCUCAUUUUUAAAACCUUGCAAUAGCUUCCAUUUCGUGAACGUGUGACAGUUUCUGUUAGCCUGUUGUGCAGAUCCUCCCCGCACACCCACAGUGACUCCACUCAGGCCAGGUGUUAUUUUAACAUUCAUUUUCAGAAGAUGAACGAGGGUCGUUUUUCCUCCUCCUCCUGCUAUCUCACACAUUCUCAUCACUCGUUCUCCUCUCUCUCUCUCUCUCUCUCUCUCUCUCCAAUCCCAUCCCUCCUGUUGGAAAAGCCUGACCCAGUAUUACUGUGACAUUAUGGGGCCACUUACCGCCCUGCUAAAAUAAACCCCAGUGAAGGAGCCGCAUGACAGAACGGGGUUACAACAUGCCGUCGAGCAAAUUAAUCAAACAAAUAAACGAGGAAUUUAGACUUAAACAGGAAGGAUCUCUCCCCUCCCCUCCCGUCCCCUCUUGUCUCUCUCGUCUUUCUUCUCAUGUUUGUUCUCAUCCAGAGACACUUGCUGAUUAAAACACAGCCAUACAUGUGCACACACACACACACACACACACACACACACAUGCAGAUAAAGCUACCCACCAGAACAUCUUCGGUCAGAUUCACCCAUGUCUUUGUUGUACAGCAGCUUGAACUGCUGCUAAGCUUUUCUGCUGGCACCAAAAAGCAGCUAGAAAUACACCACAUUUCUCGAUUUAAAGAAUGUCAUCCAGAUUUUUGUCGAGCAGUCUCUUCCCAUUGGUCUUGUCAAACUUCCCACAUUUCAUUGCCUUUCAGUCAACAGAUUGUAGUCCUCUAACUCUGUCAUGCUAACAGAUAUGACAGCUGUAGCAUAACUAAUGAACACGGAGCUCAUGUUGCGUUCUGUUGCAUGAUUUUGUAUCGAUGCAACGCUUGCUAAGGAUCAUUAGUUUUCUUUUUUUUUUUACUUUGGUGUGCAGUAGACUCAAGCACACAUGGUCAAAGAAUCAAAUGCUAACCACAAAUCACUCAAAGCUUUCAACAUAGAUUUUAGUCUGGCAAUUCAGGCAACCUCGUAGACAAGCAGUACCCCAUCUCUUUGGAGCUGAUCCUGUUUUUAACAGCCAAAAGUAUUGCUACCAUUACUACCUGAUUCUUACCCACAGUAAAUGUAAAAACUUUACUGUGCAAUCAUUCUGUCUGACACCUAACCCCCUGACAGCAGUUCCAGACACUGAAAACACACAGAAAAAGUCUGUCUAUAUUUGAUGAUGAUGACCUGAUUUGCUUUUGUGGCCCAAAAAACAUCUGUCCUUUUCACGACCAUUUAUAAAAAAAAAACCUCACAUGACCUUUAAAGCAAGUUCAAUAAAUAACAAAAUACUGUAUUUUUCGGAUGAUACAGCACACUUAAAAUCCUUAUAUUUUCUCAAAAAUUGACAGUGCGCCUCAUAAUCCAGCGCACCUUAUGUAUGAUUACUUGUUGUGCUCACUGACCGAUUUUUUGUAGUACAAUGCACUCAAAAAUCAGUCGAAAUGUGUAAGUAUGAUUUUGGUAAGCAACAAAGCCACGCUGCUCAAUGAAUAUUCGGAGCAUUACAAUACGCUACCUGAUCGACCCCUGAGCUGUCUGCAAGACUGCCUGACUGUAAUGUCUAAACUACAAGUGAUUUCAUGUAAGGCAGCCCAGGCCCGGAGUACGCACUAGCAACAAUAAACCAAUCAAUGCGCCAAUGCUGAAUGCGCCUUACAUCCGGCGCGCUUUAUCUGUGAACAUAGACACGUUAGUUCACACGGCGCCAUAUAAUCUGGUGUGCUUUAUCAGUUAGUUCCCUCUGAUUUCUUUCAGACAUUUAAACACUAGCUAACCAAACUUCCUCAUGAGUUUUUAUUUCUCUCACCCCCAAAUGAGAUAUUUCCCAAAAUUAUCUAUGUAAAUUUACUUUAAGAAAGAUGGGGUUGUUUGAAUGCGACAAAAAAAAAAUCACAAAAAAAUUACCAAAUAUCUUCUCACCUCAAUGUUUUGUGUCACGCUGCAGCCAACUUCUUCAAGACUUCUUUUACAUUUAUUUAUACUACUAUUUAUUCUAAUACAUACUUUUCUUAUCUUUAUUAUUAAAGAUUACCUUUAUUGUAUUAUAUUAUAUUUUGCAAAUAGGACUCGGUAGAAACAUGAUCAGCUCUUUCAAUCACUUCAUAGCUUAACUCACUAAUGCACAGAGAAUACAUGAACAAGUGAAUUUUUCUUCAAACCCAAGUUAGUUCAUGCAAACAUCCAACAACUGUAUCACCUUGCUCUUCGUGUUGCACGCUGGUUGCCAUAGCAAUCACUCCAGUCCCGUUCAGCAUGCAGGAAACAUGUUGAUUAAUCUUGACGAUGACAGUGCGACUCUUGAUGUGGACGGCUCCACAUUGAUCUGUAAUGAAGUCAUUGAGCCGCAUGACGAAUGGAGGGGAAGGAAAUGUGUGAGCGCAUGAUUAAUGAAAUAAUUAAUUAACUAAUUGGAUUGACUUCAUUAAAUAUUUUUCAAUCCUUGAAGUCAGAGAAAAGUUUGAUUACAUCUUUAAAUGUCUGCGAUGCAAUGAGGUGAGUUCAUAUAAACGGAUCAAAAGUUAUCAAAUGAGCGGGAAUCUUUUUUAGGUUUUUUUUUGCCAAAGAAGCGCCACAUUUUUUAUGUCUUCUCAUCGCAUUACAGGAAGGUUUUUCCAAAGUUUGUGUCAUGAUUUGUUUUUAGGUGAUCAGAUUAAUGAACCUCUUGGGUCAGUCUGUCUUAUGACUGCUCCAAGUCAUGCCAAACACAAUUGCUUUAUGUUGUUAAUAAUAUAGAUGAUUAACUAUCUGAAUGAAGAGUGAAUUCUGUGAUCCUCUUCCCAUUUGUGGGUCUGAGCAUGUCUGGAAAUAGAUUCUGUGAAUCCACAUGGAUUUUUUCCAUCUGCUGCCUGCUGUUGCCGGGUGUGUGGGAUGUUUCCUGGACCUGCUGUCAGGACUGUGAGCUUUUCCAGAGAAAACAUGCAGUAACCUUGGAUCUCCUCUUUGAAAAGCUCCAUGAGUUUUUGCAUACAUCAUACCUGGCAUCAGGGAUUUAACUUUAUACCAACUCAAAUGAAAAUCCCCUUCAGAUCCCCAAAACUGACAUCAUAAAGAGGCUGAGAUUGUGGUUAGUCAGGAAAGCUCAGCAGCAACCUGAAAUGUACUGCGAUGGCACGCCACAGCUGCUCACAAAUGAUGCAAAUAACUACUAAUGUCAUGACUGCAAAACUUAACCCCUGAUCUCCUCUGUCACAUCUUUUCAUCUAUCUCAGGGUAUAAUAUAAUAUAAAGUCAAAAAUCCCAAUUUUUUCUCUUCUUUCCUGAAAUUGAUAUACUGAGCAUACACAGCCCAAAAGUAAGACGUUUGAGGCAGAGCUGCCCAUGUAUGUCACACUAUUCUACUCCAGGCAAAAAUGAAAAUAUGUACUUAUCUAAAUGCUGUUCCUGCACAUAGUCUGGAUCUGUGACAUGACAUCAGUGUUGCUUUUAUACCAACAGUAUAAAAAGAUAUAGUAGAGCCUUGGUUAUUCCAUAUUGUUAACGAUAUGGUCCAUCUGGUCUUCAAACCAGGAGGCUAGACCAUUUUUAAACAUGGUCUGUGGUUUUACCUGCAGCCAUAGCAAAAGCUUGUAGUAACGUCUGCUGGUUCUAGUCAACUUUUGUAUACACUCUGGAUCCUACUAUCACCUGAGUAUAAAGAGUACAAAACAAGUUUUGGUAACACUUUAUUUCACGACUAUCUCUAUAACGCAUUAUAAAUAUAUGUAUAAUACGUUACAAUCACAUUAUAGCACUGUAUAGCUACAGUUAUAAACACUCAUAAAUGAUCAUAAUGCUUUAUAGUAAUAACUAUAUAGCAUUAGUGCAUUAGUCGACUAUACUAGCAUUUUAUCAUGACUUACAAGGUCAGGUAUUAUAAUGUGUUAUUACUGUUAACAACAGUUGUAUUGCAUUAUCUAUUUGGGCAUUGUCAGUGAGUUGUUAACAGUUUUAACACAUUAUAAUAUCUGACCCUGUAAGUCAUGAUAAAAUGCUUUGUAAUGUGUUCUAAUUAUUGCUUUGAAGCAUUAUGAUCCUUUAUGAGUGUUUAUAACUACAGUUUUACAGUGCUAUAACCUGAUUAUAACGCAUUAUACAUAUAUUUAUAAUGUGUUAUAGACAUAGGUGUCAAAAAAAGUGUUACCCAAGUUUUAACAGGACCUCAACAUGAUCUCCUCCACAUACAAAUCAAAGGUUCACACCUUAAUGAUGAUCAUGGCCUUAUGAGAGAGGAAGUGUUCAAAGUGGAGUCAACUGCGUUACAUAUCCCAGCAUGCUUCGUGAAGUGACACAUUUGCUAUAUGGUGCAGUGGCGUGCAGAGAUUGAUGGUAGGUUAUGCUGGCACGCUAUUACGUGAUCAGUACAGUUGCAUGUAUAUUUAAGCCAAGCCACUGCAAUUCCAGUUGAAAAGCACUGGGCAAGAAUCAAAUCAGCUGCAGUGGCGACAUGCCCCCUUACAGCUCAUUACUACUGGUUGCUAACUGGUUUACAAAGCAAUCGACUGAAGUAUUAGCAAGUAGCAAACCAAAUGUAUGUUGAAGGAUGAAAACACUGUCUCAUUUACAGCACAUACAUGUCCCUCUGCCUGCAGUGUCAGUUACACAGAAUCUUAGUUACUAAUGCUGCAUACAACCAAGCUGGAUAUCAUUCCUCCUCAAGUGUCCUGCUGAUUCUUUCUGGUUUCUCCCCUGCCUUGAUUUUAUAUUCCCAUAAUGACCACUUCAACAAAAGAUUAUUACAUGUUAUUGUAAUUAACUGUUCAAACUUAUGAUCUAAUGGAUAAAAUGGAUCAUCUGGUGUUUGUGGGUAACGAGAACAGCGUGCAUAUGUGAGCCUGUGUGUGUGUUUCAUUAUAAUGUGCUUGUGUGAUUAUGUGUUUAUAUGCAGCAUGUGCAGGUCUCACUGCGUCCUAUCGAAGAUGAUUGUGCAUCCAUCAGGAUGCCGUUAAAUAGUGGCCAGUGAGGAUAUGAAACGGCUCUCACUUUGGGGCUAUCGUUGAUCAAUGCUCAUAAACAUUUCAUGUCAUAAUCAGCCAUCGCCGGCACAAUAACACAUCAGCACUAACAGUUCUGGGACAGCAGGACAGCAACACACGUGUGCACACAGGCACACAUGCCGAGACUUUUAGUGUUAACAUCUCUGCUAAACCGAAUAUGUAUAUUUUAUGCAUCACAGCUGUGGAGGUGGAAACACACACAUUAGACAUCUUCCCUCACACACCAUUAAACAAACACACACCAUCAAGCAUUUAGGCAGUAAAAUAGUGUGUGUGCUCAGCGUGUGUGUGAUGUUGAGCUGUGGUCUGGGUGAGGGAUGAAAGAGAGAGACACAGGGAGAGGCUGCCGGGGUGAGGAGGGGGAGUAUUAUCCGGGGAGGGCUUUACAAAGUAAGCCAAUUUAUACAAGGUAUCCCGGCUCGAAUUAGCGGCUAAUGACUCUAUUAGCUUUCAUUUUUGCACCGAGGAGAUUUGCCUGCAUAAAUUAGGGCCUGAUCAUUGGCAAAGUGUCACGGCCAAAGGACAGUUUAUAAAUACAACAGCCAGGCCCUGUCAGCCGCACUGGGCGCUGAUAUAGACGUCUCUGCAGACUUUGUCGUUGAGCGCAACAGACUUGUGCCAGUCAGACGGUGACAGGGGACCGUGGGGGUCCCGGGGGGAGCUCUCUCACCGCCGUCCCUGAAAAGGUCAACUUGACGCGGGCACAGCCCAUCGACCUGCCCCCCUGUCGGCUCCGCUGAUAAAAAUCAGAUAAACUUAAGACCACUCAUCGAUCUGGGCUGCAGAGCCUUAGGCAAAUGUUGGCAGAACCCCCCUCCUCCUCCGCCUUCACCUCCUCUUCUUCCUUCACCUCCUCUUUUGUGCAUAAGAUUACACACAACAAAUUAAAACAAGGGUGGGGGGCACAGAAAGAGAGGUGGAAGAGGGGAAAAUAGAGAGAAAAUGGGAAAGAGAGGGAGGGAUUCUUGUUUCUUUGAGGAAAGGAAGGGAGGGGGGUUCUAUUAAGAGGUGAGAGGAUGAGAAGUGGGAGUAGGCAGGGUAAGAUUAAUCGCAGAAAUUUGAGCAGAGACAGGGAAAUUUCAUUAACUAUGAGAGCACUUGUUAGAGCUAAAUGGUCAGGGAGCGAGGGGAGGUGGGAGGAGGGUGAGAAAAGGUGGAUCUUUAAAGUGGCAGAAAGAGCAGGACAGAGGUUCUUGCUUAUGCAACUUGUGACUUCCUCCAAAAACAGCACAGAUGCCCUAUUUAAUUCUUCCUUUCUUUGUCUUUCCUUUAGAUUGGAGUCUGAGAUGUUUGCAGAAAAAAAGAGGUAAAGACAUAGCAGCUACGGGAAGCGGUGAUGGCAGAAGGGGCCCUGCAGCAGGAAGGAUACAGAUCCGAGCAGAGGGCCAGGAGUCAGAGUCAGAGUGAGUGAGGAGAGACCAAACUACUGCAAAAAGACAGAAUUAGAGCAAAACGAUCAGAGAUGCAGAGGUGAGGAACAUCUGGCUGGCAACCUUGGUGAUCAGACCACACAUCCUCACCGUGUCCCUCUUGCCAGGCUGAGUGUCUGUCUGCUGCCCUCUGCACCCGCACUAUCUUUACACACUUCCUCCCUACAUCACUUUCUCUACAGGAACACACACUGUACACGCUUGCACAAGCACACACACGCACAAACACACUGUCUCUGUGUCUCUCAGGAGGACGGGCAUUACAGCUCAGGGCGAAGAGGUGCAGAUAAGGGAACAGGAGUGUGACGUGAGUGGAGGCCCAUAACCAAAGAUAACAGUCUUACUUUGUGUGUGUGUGUGUGUGUGUGUGUGUGUGUGUGUGUGUGCUAAUGUGAGGUCUGUGGUCGUCAGGGUGUAAGUGGGAAUGAUGAGGGUUACCCCGUUAUCAGCUCUGUCUGUGUCAGCACCUCCAUCUGCCGUCGGCCCUCCUGCCAGUGUGUGUCUUUGUGUGUGUGUGUGUGUGUGUGUGUGCGUGUAUGUGUGUGUCACUACAGGGCGAUAGUUGUCUGGUGAGCAGGAAGUGCAGUCUGGGUCAGACUGGUGACACAUGCAGUGCAGCCUUUUAGUGUCUUGUCUCAGUGUGUGUGUGUGUGUGUGUGUGUGUGUGUGUGUGUGUGUGUGUGUGUGUGUGUGUGUGCGUGUGCGUGUGUGUUUGCAAUCACUGGCCUUUUUUUUUCCAAAUAGAAGGAAUUACAUUUUUAAUAAAGAAAAAAAUAUCCCCAAUUCAAUCAUAAAUACCUCCCACCCCUUUUUGUUAGCUAUCAAACACGCCACUUUUUGGAUUUACUUACCGUGAAAUCUGCACAGUCACCAAAGUUUUUUGAGACACUUAAAACAUUAGACUCAUUUUUUCUUAAAUUUAACAGCAGCAUUAUCUAAUUUUUUGAAACAAAAAGGUGCCAAAAGACAUGAAAAAACAGGUGGAUUCAUCAGCAGAGGAGUUGAGAGUGAGUUUUAGGAUGAAGCCUUGAUGCACAGAUUUAGUCCUCUGCUGCCAACUAGUGGUGAAAAUAAUGAACUGCAGAAACACUGAAUUUAAGGAGGGAGCCUCUUCUCCCCUUUGUCACCUAUCAUACAAAGCAGGUUUAUGAUGCUGUAGCUGCUGUUUGAUGAACUUGUAUGAAUGUAAAAUUGAAUUUAUGAGAAUGUCACUUGUGCUAAAACGGCUUUUAUUCUCUGUUAAGUUUUUGCAAAGCACUACAUUUAAGCCAAGGGACUUAUUGAGGAUUUAAAGAGGGCAGCGCAGCGACUAUUUCCUCUAAAUUCAUAAAAGCCUCUGAAUAUUCUCUGCUUUAUUCAAAACAAGUGAAGCUUAUAUUUUACCAGAGUAAUAUUAAGACAGCUAAAGCUAUUUCUUUGCUUGCAAUAACACCAAACUCAUCCCAGUCUGCAGUCUUUUGGAUUUGCUUCACAUGAUUUUUCAAAUAAAGCAAAUAUUUUCUUUUCUCUCUGUGGGAGAGUUCAACUAGAGCUCUCUGAUAACAUAUGGUGCUCAUUUUUUAAAAUGUCACUCUGGCACUUAUCCCUCUAAUUGUAGCGUAAUGGCUUGGCGUUCACUGCUAAAACAUAUUGUAUUCAUAUUAGAGAUAUCUCUCCGACUAUAGGACAUCAUAAGCAUAAUCCAGCUUGUUUUUAUGCACUGCAAUAAAACUACAAACUUAGCAACCAUAGUUUUUGUUUUAUCUGAGGCUGCUCGUCUUACACAUACACUUCAAAACACCUCAGAUGCUACACAAAAAGUAGACCUGAAUGUAUGUAUGUGAUGCAGAGGCAUGAUUCAUGUGGACAAAUUGUGAAAUAACUCAUAGUAGAUGGGUCAUUAUGAUUACACAGAGUGCUCCCUGCUGGCCAUUAUCAUUCAAGUGCAUCUUUACACUGAAGGACACAGCAAACCCUGUUUGGCUCUGACACUGGGCUAUAAUGUGUGUGUAUGUGCGUGUGUGUAUAUGUGGGGUAGAUGGAGCUUGGAUGGAGACAAAGCUUCUUUUUUAAAGGAAAAAAAGAAACAUGGCACAGGUGCACUUAUUAUAGCAAAGUGAGUUUUUAAGGACACAAGGAUCAACAGUGCAUAAACACUGGAGUAACUCAGUCCACCUGAGUGUAUGUGUGUGUGUGUGUGUGUGUGUGUGUGUGUGUUUAACCAUGAAAGCUGCAGAAGUCUAUUUCAUCAUAAGUUGCAGUGGACAGUAAAAGAUGCAAAUAGGCUCGAUAAAGUAUCUGUUAUUUUUAAAAUCUAAUAUGGAAGAUUCAGUGUGCAGCCUCUCAAUAAAACGCUGCAGUAAAUGGCUGCUGGAUUUAUCUGUAACCAUAACCUGACCAUAAGGUUAAGUGUUCCUAAUAGUUAUAAAUGAGAGGCGGACCGUUACUUUUGUUUAUUGGCGUGCUUUCUUUUAAGGUCCCAUCCCCGAUUCCAGUAAUAUAACAUGUCGCUCUCACCGCGCUGCAGAAUGAGAUUACUCUCUGACAUGGGCCUCGCAUCAUCCUCAGACGAGCCCGCUCCGUGAACUCUUCACCGGGGCACGGCACGGCACGGCAAGGCACGGCGGCGAGACGACGCACGGAGGCG